GCUUUUGCUAUUCUGGGUCUUUUAUUUUUCCAGAUGAAUUUCAUGAUUGCUUUUUCUAUUUCUGUGAGGAAUGCCAUUGGGAUUUUGAUUGGUAUUGCAUUAAACCUAUAGAGUACUUUUGGUAAUAUGGCCAUUUUAAUGAUAUUAGUUCUGCCUAUCCAUGAACAAGGUAUAUCUUUCCACCUUCUAAGGUCCUUUUUCUAUUUCUCUCUUUAGGGUUCUGUAGUUUUCGUUGUAUAGUUCUUUCACCUCUUUUGUUAGGUUGAUUCCCAAGUAUUUUAUUUAUUUAUUUAUUUAUUUUUUUGAGGAUAUUGUGAAUGGGGUGGUUGUUCUCAUUACCAUUUCAGAGGAUUUGUCACUGAUAUACAGGAAUGCCUUUGAUUUAUGCGUGUUGAUUUUACAUCCUGCCACUUUGCUGAAUUCGUUUGACCAGCUCUACAAGUUUCUUGGUAGAAUCUUUUGGGUAUAGGAUCAUGUCAUCCGCAAAUAGUGAUAAUUUAAGUUCUUCCUUUCCUAUUUUUAUGCCUUUAAUUUCUUUCGUCUAAUUGCUCUGGCCAGUGUUUUGAGAACUAUGUUGAACAGAAGUGGUGAGAGAGAGCAUCCCUGUCUUGUUCCAGAUUUUAGAGGGAAUGCUUCAAUUUUUCUCUGUUCAGAAUGAUGCUAGCCUGAGGCUUAGCAUAGGUAGCUUUUACAAUGUUGAGGUAUGUUCCUGUUAUCCCUAGUUUUUCUAGUAUUUUGAACAUAAAGGGAUGCUUCACUUUGUCGAAUGCUUUUUCUGCAUCUAUCGAGAUGAUCAUAUGUUUUUUAUCUUUAAGUCUAUUGAUGUGGUGAAUGACAUUUAUUGAUUUUCGUGUAUUGAACCAGCCUUGCAUCCCAGGGAUGAAUCCUACUUGAUCAUGAUGCACAAUCUUUUUGAUAUGUUUCUGUAUCUGAUUUGCCAGAAUUUUAUUGAGGAUUUUUGCAUCUAGGUUCAUUAGAGAUAUUGGUCUGUAGUUUUCUUUCUUUGAAGUGUCUUUGUCUGGUUUAGGAAUCAGGGUGAUGUUGGCCUCGUAGAAUGAAUUUGGAAGUUCUCCCUCUUUUUCUAUUUCCUGAAAUAGCUUGAAAAGUAUUGGUAUUAGUUCUUCUUUAAAGGUUUUGUAAAACUCUGCUGUAUACCCAUCCGGUCCUGGGCUUUUCUUGGUUGGUAGUCUUUUGAUGGCUUCUUCUAUUUCCUCAAUUGAUAUUGGUCUGUUUAGGUUGUGUAUAUCCUCCUGACUCAAUCUGGGCAGAUCAUAUGACUUAAGAAAUUUAUCGAUGCCUUCACUAUCUUCUAUUUUAUUGGAGUAUAAGGUUUCAAAAUAAUUUCUAAUUAUCUUCUGUAUUUCUGUAGUGUCUGUUGUGAUGUUGCCUUUUUC
Molecule: long non-coding RNA, 1394 nt
Filed under: Marmota monax (woodchuck)
Lineage: Eukaryota; Metazoa; Chordata; Mammalia; Rodentia; Sciuridae
Source: RNAcentral